CCAGAGAACUUAGCAGAGAUGCUUUGGUGCCUUCGGGAACUCUGAGACAGGUGCUGCAUGGCUGUCGUCAGCUCGUGUUGUGAAAUGUUGGUUAAGUCCCGCAACGAGCGCAACCCUUAUCCUUUGUUGCCAACGGUCCGGCCGGGAACUCAAAGGAGACUGCCAGUGAUAAACUGGAGGAAGGUGGGGAUGACGUCAAGUCAUCAUGGCCCUUACGAGUAGGGCUACACACGUGCUACAAUGGCGCAUACAAAGAGAAGCGACCUCGCGAGAGCAAGCGGACCUCAUAAAGUGCGUCGUAGUCCGGAUUGGAGUCUGCAACUCGACUCCAUGAAGUCGGAAUCGCUAGUAAUCGUGGAUCAGAAUGCCACGGUGAAUACGUUCCCGGGCCUUGUACACACCGCCCGUCACACCAUGGGAGUGGGUUGCAAAAGAAGUAGGUAGCUUAACCUUCGGGAGGGCGCUUACCACUUUGUGAUUCAUGACUGGGGUGAAGUCGUAACAAGGUAGGCGUAGUGCU
Molecule: ribosomal RNA, 520 nt
Filed under: uncultured bacterium
Lineage: Bacteria
Description: bacterial SSU rRNA
Rfam family: Bacterial small subunit ribosomal RNA
Source: RNAcentral